UUAUUGUAGGAAUUGUAGGUUGGGUUGGAAUUUUAUAAUAUAAUAGUCAUGAAUCGUCUGUCCUCAUAAGUUUUGAAGAUAUAAAUCAAUUAUAAUUCAUACUUGUUUGAAAACAAGUCCUACUGCUGUCCACAUGCUACAAAUAGUGCCACUGUGUUUACAAAUAGUUUACGAUGGAGUCAUCAGCAUUACAGGGCACUGAAAGUAUUACCGUGAAGACUGAGCCCGGUGAGGAUGCGUGUAUGACGGAUUUAUCAACGAUCGCAGUGUCUGUGAAAGUGGAGCAUUUGCUGGACGAUGUGUGCGUCAAGGACGAACCUAGACCCGAUGGUGUGUGUAUAAACAGUGAGCCAUCGAGCUCAGAAGUGAGUGUAAAAGAGGAGUCAGCCAGCGCGCGCGUGGCGGCGGAGCUGUACGCCGGCCACGCGGUGAAGGACGAGCUCGUGCUCGGCCCCGAGCUAGUGGAGCGCCGCCCCGUGCGACACGCAUCAGCGGCGUCAAAUGGGGCGAUCAAACAGCAGCAGUUGAGUGAGAUUGUCCCCAGGGGACCCUUCCUAAGAGACUGCAGUGUGCGGUUGAAUCGUCUUGACAUGGACAAGCUUCUCACGCACAUUCGGAGUACAGACCGGGACAACGAGUCAGGGCAAACUCCACAGAAGAUAUCAAGUGGCGGACCCGAAACCUACAGAUGUGCACACUGUAAAUAUACAACGGUUCAGAAACUACGCUUAAUUAGGCAUUUGAGUAAACACACCAGUGAGAGGCCGCACAGGUGUGACCCGUGUAACUAUACUUGCAGCUCAAAGAGUUGUCUGACAAUUCAUUAUAAGAAACACACCGAUGAAAAGCCAUAUAAAUGUAACCAGUGCAACUACGCUAGUAGCCGGAAAAAUCAGUUGCUUAGUCAUGUAAGGACACACACUGGGGAAAAGCCAUAUAAAUGCAAGCAGUGUAACUACGCGAGUAGCCACAAACAUCAUUUGCAACGUCAUGUAAGGACACACACUGGGGAAAAGCCAUAUAAAUGUGAUCAGUGUGACUACGCUAGUAGCUAUAAAAUUUCAUUGCUAGUUCAUGUAAGGACACACACUGGGGAAAAGCCAUAUAAAUGCAACCAGUGUAACUACGCUGGCAACUUCAAACAUGAUUUAAAAGUUCAUGUAAGGGCACACACUGGGGAAAAGCCAUAUAAAUGCAACCAGUGCAACUCCAGCAGCCAUAAAAGUUCACUGCGAGUUCAUGUAAGGACACACACUGGGGAAAAGCCAUAUAAAUGCAAGCAGUGUAACUACGCGAGUAUCUGCAAACAUAAUUUGCAAUGUCAUGUAAGGACACACACUGGGGAAAAGCCAUAUAAAUGCAACCAGUGUAACUACGCUGGCAACUACAAACAUGAUUUAAAAGUUCAUGUAAGGGCACACACUGGGGAAAAGCCAUAUAAAUGCAACCAGUGCAACUUCGCCAGCAGCCAUAAAAGUUCACUGCGAGUUCAUGUAAGGACACACACUGGGGAAAAGCCAUAUAAAUGCAAGCAGUGUAACUACGCGAGUAGCCACAAACAUCAUUUGCAAUGUCAUGUAAGGACACACACUGUGGAAAAGCCGUAUAUUUGCAACCAGUGCAACUACGCUAGUAGCCGGAAAAGUAAUUUGCAAACUCAUGUAAGGACACACACGGGUAAAAAGCUAUAUAAAUGCAACCAGUGCAAUUACACUAGCAGCCGGAAAAGUAAUUUGCAAAGACAUGUAAGGACACACACCGGAGAAAAACCAUAGAUUUAGAUUCAUUUAUUUCUUAAUAACUAUUACAUGUUUUUUAUUACAACCGAAUAUAAAAAUGAAUACAUAUUAAGAUCGUCAAAAAUAAAGAUCAUCUGGAUAUCUUGUUGGGCGUGCACUUAUAGCCUUAGUACAUAUAUAUAGAUGCAAUCAGUGCAAUUACGCUAGCAGCUACCAACACUUUGCAAGUUCAUGUAAGGAUACACACUGGGGAAAAGCCAUAUAAAUGCAACCACUGUAACUACGCUAGCAGGUACAAAAAUCAAUUGCAAUUUCCUGUAAAGACACAUACUGCGGAAAAGUCAUAUAAAUGCAACCAGUAUAAUUACGCUAACAACCGGAAAAGCUGAUUGCUAAAUCAUGUAAGGACACACACUGGGGAAAAGAUAAAUGCAACCAGUGUAACUGUACUAGCACGUACAAAACUCAAGCCAUAUAAAUGCAACCUGUGCAACUACGCUAGCAGGUGCAAACAUAAUUUGCAAGAUCAUGUAAGGACACACACUGAGGAAAAUUCAUAUAAAGCAACCAGUAAGUAGUAAUUACACACAUUGGGGAAAAGGCAUAAAAAUAUAACCGGUGUACCUACGCUCGCAAAGGAAAAGUAAUUGUGAUACUCAUGAAUGUAUUAUUUGAGGUAUGCAACAUAAUACCACGCGUUCCUAAAGGGUCGUGACAGGCAUAUAAAUAAUAAUAAUAAAUAUUAUAGGACA
Molecule: RNA transcript, 2491 nt
Organism: Leguminivora glycinivorella
Lineage: Eukaryota; Metazoa; Arthropoda; Insecta; Lepidoptera; Tortricidae
Gene name: zinc finger protein 782-like
Exons: 4
Source: RefSeq, a predicted model, not a curated record